GGGGAAGCAAAGGUUUCGACGGAGAUUUUUUAGCAUUAUGAAUAGCGGGUAGAGUGGGAACUCUUUAAACAUCACAAACAAUUUUUAAAUGCAGGUAGUAAAGGUAAAUAUGAGGAUAACGUAACGACUGUGAAAUUUGGCAGGAGUAAUGUAUCCGCCGCCGCUUAAGUGCGGACAUCCGUCUGUUCAGGAGUACCACGACCUGAUUUAGGCGUCGAUUAGUGGUGAACGUCUUCUGGGAGCUUUCUCAACCCGGGAGAUGAAAAAGAGAAUAUAGCGGUGGUGUUUUUGUUUGCUUGUGUGCUACCGACUGAAUUAAAUAAAAAACAAACUGCACCCGGAGAAUUUCAUAUGCAAGAGUUUUCGGACAGGGGUUCAACUCCCCUCUUCUCCACCA
RNAcentral lists this transfer-messenger RNA (397 nucleotides) under Clostridia bacterium. It matches the Rfam family "transfer-messenger RNA". Rfam says of the family: Bacterial tmRNA, also known as 10Sa RNA or SsrA, is named for its dual tRNA and mRNA-like properties. Its role is to liberate the mRNA from a stalled ribosome. Lineage: Bacteria; Bacillati; Bacillota; Clostridia. The record is from RNAcentral.